Molecule: non-coding RNA, 79 nt
Organism: Mycena floridula
Lineage: Eukaryota; Fungi; Basidiomycota; Agaricomycetes; Agaricales; Mycenaceae
Source: the annotation of a GenBank genome assembly
GUGAUGAUGGUGUAAUGGUAGCACGUCCAAUUAACAACUGCAUUCACGGAUAGCCCUGGUUUGAUUCCAGGUCAUCGCC